Molecule: small RNA, 399 nt
Filed under: Pan troglodytes (chimpanzee)
Lineage: Eukaryota; Metazoa; Chordata; Mammalia; Primates; Hominidae
Description: retained intron
Source: RNAcentral
GCAAUAAGGUAACAGGUGUGCCCACCUCUCAGGGCUGCUAUGAGGACAACUGAGGCCACACACCUGGCUCUCAAUAAGUGAGUGGUGCUCUGUGAGCUUCUGGCGAGUUAGGGGCACCCUACUCAUUGCGGCCGGGGGCCUCCCCCAGCAAAUGGGUGGAAAGAGGCCUGAGCCCCAUCCCCAGUUUCUGCCCCUGCUAUCUCCACCCAGGAUCCACCAGAAGAUAUGAAGCAGGACCGGGACAUUCAGGCAGUGGCGACCUCCCUCCUGCCACUGACAGAAGCCAACCUACGCAUGUUUCAACGUGCCCAGGAUGACCUUAUCCCUGCUGUGGACCGGCAGUUUGCCUGCUCCUCCUGCGACCACGUCUGGUGGCGCCGCGUGCCCCAGCGGAAGGAG